AGAGAGAGACAUGCGCGCAUAUCAAUAAGCGGAGGAAAAGAAACUAACAAGGAUUCCCUUAGUAACGGCGAGUGAAGCGGGAAGAGCUCAAAUUUGAAAUCUUCAAGGUUCUACCUUGACGAAUUGUAGUUUAUAAGAAGUGUUUUCUGUUAGUGGAGUGGCAAAAGUUCUUUGGAAUAGGGACAUCAUAGAGGGUGAGAAUCCCGUAUUUGACCAUUAUUUCCAGCUUUGUGAUACACUUCCAAAGAGUCGGAUUGUUUGGGAAUGCAGUCCAAAAUGGGUGGUAAAUUUCAUCUAAAGCUAAAUAUUGGCGGAGAGACCGAUAGCGAACAAGUACCGUGAGGGAAAGAUGAAAAGAACUUUGAAAAGAGAGUUAAACAGUACGUGAAAUUGUCAAAAGGGAAGCGUUUGACACCAGUGUUGUUUUCUCGAAAAUCAAUUAAAAAUGGCCGGAUUUUGUGUUGUAUUGACUUUAUCAGCUUUCUGCACUUUUUUCCUAUCUUUUUUAAUGCACUUUUCGUUUAACAAGUCAACAUCAAUUUCUUUUGUUGUAAAAGGUUAAGAGGAAGGUGGCUUUACUUUCGGGUAAAGUGUUUAUAGCCUUUUAACUCUGCAAUCGGAGAGAUUGAGGUCUGCAGCGUAGAUCCUUCGGGGCUAGAUACGUUUGUGCUAAGUUAUAGCUUUUCAUAGACAACUUGUUGACUAUGUUUAGUCUUGUAGCUUACUCGCUGACGCUAUUUUACCUACGCUUAGGAUGUUGACAGCAGUAUAGACUG
RNAcentral lists this ribosomal RNA (776 nucleotides) under uncultured Neocallimastigales. RNAcentral describes it as "partial large subunit ribosomal RNA". It matches the Rfam family "Eukaryotic large subunit ribosomal RNA", at positions 23 to 636 of the family's 3401-position model. Lineage: Eukaryota; Fungi; Neocallimastigomycota; Neocallimastigomycetes; Neocallimastigales. The record is from RNAcentral.